CCUACGGGAGGCAGCAGUGAGGAAUAUUGGUCAAUGGCCGGAAGGCUGAACCAGCCAUGCCGCGUGAAGGUCAGUGCCCUAUGGGCGUUAAACUUCUUCUGUGCGGGAGCAAUAAUGGUCACGUGUGGCCAGACGAGAGUACCGUACGAAUAAGCAUCGGCUAACUCCGUGCCAGCAGCCGCGGUAAUACGGGGGAUGCAAGCGUUAUCCGGUUUUAUUGGGUUUAAAGGGUGCGUAGGCUGUGAGGUAAGUCAGCGGUGAAAUGCCUCCGCUCAACGGGGUGAAGUGCCAUUGAUACUGCCUGGCUGGAAUGCGGAUGCCGUGGGAGGAAUGUGUGGUGUAGCGGUGAAAUGCAUAGAUAUCACACAGAACACCGAUUGCGAAGGCAUCUCACGAAUCCGCGAUUGACGCUGAUGCACGAAAGCGUGGGUAUCAAACAGGAUUAGAUACCCCUGUAGUC
This 460-nucleotide ribosomal RNA is filed under the name uncultured bacterium. Its description in RNAcentral is "partial 16S ribosomal RNA". It matches the Rfam family "Bacterial small subunit ribosomal RNA", at positions 338 to 795 of the family's 1533-position model. The record is from RNAcentral.